This 943-nucleotide ribosomal RNA is filed under the name Pseudoceros astrorum. RNAcentral's name for it is "partial large subunit ribosomal RNA". It matches the Rfam family "Eukaryotic large subunit ribosomal RNA", at positions 106 to 856 of the family's 3401-position model. The record is from RNAcentral. Lineage: Eukaryota; Metazoa; Platyhelminthes; Polycladida; Pseudocerotidae.
AGCCCAGCACCGAAUCCUUCACCAUUCCGGUGACAGGAAAUGUGGUGUUUAGGCCGUGCUUUGUCCUGAUACGUCUCUCCUCAAGUCCACUUGAUUGUGGCCCCCGGCCCAGAGAGGGUGUAAGGCCCGUGGAGGCGAGAUGUUCAGUGCCUGGUGCGUCCUUAGAGUCGGGUUGUUUGGGAAUGCAGCCCUAAGCGGGUGGUAAACUCCAUCCAAGGCUAAAUACUAGCACGAGUCCGAUAGCGAAGAAUGUACCGCGAGGGAAGGUUGAAAAGAACUUUGAAGAGAGAGUUCAAGAGUACGUGAAACCGCUGAGAGGCAAACUGGUGGAACUGAAAUGGUCCCGAGGAAUUCAGCCGUUGUUGGUUGUACAGCCUGUGGUGUCUGAUCUCACGACUGCGCUACUGGGUGACGCUUUCAUCAUCGGUGCACUUUCCUCGUUCUGGGCCCGACCACGACCGGUGAGCUGCUCUCUCCAUCGUGUUUGGAAGGUAGCGCCAUCUUCGGAGGGCGUGUUAUAGACUUGCACAUGGAGCAGUACGGCACACUGGACGAUAGUGCCUGCCUUCCGGCUCAUAUGGGGGCCGUUUUACGAGCGAAUUUCGGUGUCACUACUUCGGUAGAGGCAUUGAGUUCUGUUUGCAUUACGGUUCUCCGCUAUGAUUGGCACUGGUAAGUCUGUGGUUGUGAAGUAGGUAGUCCACCUGACCCGUCUUGAAACACGGACCAAGGAGUCUAACAUGUGCGCGAGUCAUUGGGUUUACGAAACCUAAAGGCGCAGUGAAGGUGAAGAUCUGUUUUUGGCAGGUUGAGGUGGGAUGCUGGGUCACGCGCCCAGCCGCACUACCGGCCCGUUCUACAUGUAUCUCAUGAGAGCGGAGCAAGAGCGUACACGUUGGGACCCGAAAGAUGGUGAACUAUGCUUGCGCAGGUCGAAGCCAGA